AGUUAGAAAGCGAAUUUUGCAUUUAGUUUCGACCUAAACUUUGGCCUAUGCCUCUAAUUUUGAUAG
This 66-nucleotide transfer RNA is filed under the name Potamiscus yongshengensis. RNAcentral's name for it is "tRNA-Arg". Lineage: Eukaryota; Metazoa; Arthropoda; Malacostraca; Decapoda; Potamidae. The record is from RNAcentral.